Molecule: ribosomal RNA, 253 nt
Filed under: uncultured bacterium
Lineage: Bacteria
Also listed under: 1 other name
Description: partial 16S ribosomal RNA
Rfam family: Bacterial small subunit ribosomal RNA
Source: RNAcentral
UACGGAGGGUGCGAGCGUUGUUCGGAAUUACUGGGCGUAAAGGGCGCGUAGGCGGUAGUGAUAGUCAGGUGUGAAAUCCUUCGGCUUAACCGGAGAACUGCAUCUGAAACUUCACAACUAGAGUACAGGAGAGGGAAACGGAAUUCCCGGUGUAGAGGUGAAAUUCGUAGAUAUCGGGAGGAACACCAGUGGCGAAGGCGGUUUCCUGGCCUGAUACUGACGCUGAGGCGCGAAAGCGUGGGGAGCAAACAGG